RNAcentral lists this RNase P RNA (470 nucleotides) under Butyrivibrio hungatei. RNAcentral's name for it is "Bacterial RNase P class A". It matches the Rfam family "Bacterial RNase P class A". From Rfam's summary of the family: Ribonuclease P (RNase P) is a ubiquitous endoribonuclease, found in archaea, bacteria and eukarya as well as chloroplasts and mitochondria. Its best characterised activity is the generation of mature 5'-ends of tRNAs by cleaving the 5'-leader elements of precursor-tRNAs. Cellular RNase Ps are ribonucleoproteins. The record is from RNAcentral. Lineage: Bacteria; Bacillati; Bacillota; Clostridia; Lachnospirales; Lachnospiraceae.
AGUAGGAUAGAUGAUCGCUGCCAUGCAGACGAAAGGGCAUGGGAGAGGAAAGUCCGGGCUUCACAGGGCAGGAUGCCAGAUAACGUCUGGCGGAGGCAACUCCCGAGACAGUGCAACAGAGAUAUACCGCGUUAGCAAUGAGGCGGGCCGGCUAUGGAAUGAUUGUCGGAUGCAUGCUUGCAUGCAAGACGACAUAUCAUGACAUAGACAUACGGCGAAUGCCGUGUAACGAGGAAAGCUUGCUUUCCGAGUGACCGCCCCACUGAUCCGUAAGGGUGGAAAGGCAGUGUAAGAGACUACCGUGCCGGUGGUAACACCGGUAGCCAUGUAAACCUCAUCCGAAGCAAGACCGAAAAGAAAGCCAUGAACCGGCCCGGUUCGCUUUCAGGUGGGUCGCUUGAGGCUGUCGGCGACGACAGUCCUAGAUAGAUGAUCAUCCACGACAUAACCCGGCUUACAGUCCUACUCCU